Molecule: ribosomal RNA, 527 nt
Filed under: uncultured bacterium
Lineage: Bacteria
Description: bacterial SSU rRNA
Rfam family: Bacterial small subunit ribosomal RNA
Source: RNAcentral
UAGGGAAUCUUGCGCAAUGGGGGAAACCCUGACGCAGCGACGCCGCGUGAGCGAGGAAGGCCUUCGGGUUGUAAAGCUCUGUCAGUCGGGAAGAGGAAGUGACGGUACCGACAGAGGAAGCCCCGGCUAACUACGUGCCAGCAGCCGCGGUAAUACGUAGGGGGCAAGCGUUGUCCGGAAUGACUGGGCGUAAAGGGCGUCUAGGCGGCCCGAUAGGUGUGAGGUUUAAGACGGCGGCUCAACCGCCGAAGUGCCUUGCAUACUGUUGGGCUUGAGGGCAGUAGAGGCGAGUGGAAUUCCCGGUGUAGCGGUGAAAUGCGUAGAGAUCGGGAAGAACACCAGUGGCGAAGGCGGCUCGCUGGGCUGGCCCUGACGCUGAAGCGCGAAAGCGUGGGGAGCGAACGGGAUUAGAUACCCCGGUAGUCCACGCCGUAAACGAUGGGUACUAGGUGUGGGAAGUAUCGACCCCUUCCGUGCCGGAGCAAACGCACUAAGUACCCCGCCUGGGGGGUACGGCCGCAAGGCUG